This 458-nucleotide ribosomal RNA is filed under the name uncultured Lysinibacillus sp. Its description in RNAcentral is "partial 16S ribosomal RNA". It matches the Rfam family "Bacterial small subunit ribosomal RNA", at positions 341 to 792 of the family's 1533-position model. Lineage: Bacteria; Bacillati; Bacillota; Bacilli; Caryophanales; Bacillaceae. The record is from RNAcentral.
ACGGAAGGCAGCAGUAGGGAAUCUUCCACAAUGGGCGAAAGCCUGAUGUAGCAACGCCGCGUGAGUGAAGAAGGUUUUCGGAUCGUAGAACUCUGUUGUAAGGGAAGAACAAGUACAGUAGUAACUGGCUGUACCUUGACGGUACCUUAUUAGAAAGCCACGGCUAACUACGUGCCAGCAGCCGCGGUAAUACGUAGGUGGCAAGCGUUGUCCGGAUUUAUUGGGCGUAAAGCGCGCGCAGGUGGUUUCUUAAGUCUGAUGUGAAAGCCACGGCUCAACCGUGGAGGGUCAUUGGAAACUGGGAGACUUGAGUGCAGAAGAGGAAAGUGGAAUUCCAAGUGUAGCGGUGAAAUGCGUAGAGAUUUGGAGGAACACCAGUGGCGAAGGCGACUUUCUGGUCCGUAACUGACACUGAGGCGCGAAAGCGUGGGGAGCAAACAGGAUUAGAUACCCUGGUA